Molecule: ribosomal RNA, 488 nt
Filed under: uncultured bacterium
Lineage: Bacteria
Description: partial 16S ribosomal RNA
Rfam family: Bacterial small subunit ribosomal RNA
Source: RNAcentral
GAUGAACGCUAGCGGCAGGCUUAACACAUGCAAGUCGAGGGGCAGCAUAAUGGAUAGCAAUAUCUAUGGUGGCGACCGGCGCACGGGUGCGUAACGCGUAUGCAACCUACCUUUAACAGGGGGAUAACACUGAGAAAUUGGUACUAAUACCCCAUCAUAUCAUAGAAGGCAUCUUUUAUUGUUGAUAAUUCCGAUGGUUAGAGAUGGGCAUGCGUUGUAUUAGCUAGUUGGUGGGGUAACGGCUCACCAAGGCGACGAUACAUAGGGGGACUGAGAGGUUAACCCCGCACACUGGUACUGAGGCAAGGACCAGACUCCUACGGGAGGCAGCAGUGAGGAAUAUUGGUCAAUGGACGCAAGUCUGAACCAGCCAUGCCGCGUGCAGGAUGACGGCUCUAUGAGUUGUAAACUGCUUUUGUACGAGGGUAAACGCAGAUACGUGUAUCUGUCUGAAAGUAUCGGACGAAUAAGGAUCGGCUAACUCCGUG